This 244-nucleotide long non-coding RNA is filed under the name Elaeis guineensis (African oil palm). Its description in RNAcentral is "long non-coding RNA (EGUI_LNC008898)". The record is from RNAcentral. Lineage: Eukaryota; Viridiplantae; Streptophyta; Magnoliopsida; Arecales; Arecaceae.
CCCCUCCAUCACUCCAUUGUCCUCCGUCGGUCGAUUUGCUUUUCAAGGCUGCCGAUUGCCGCUGCACUUGCCCCACACUCUCUCGGCCUCUCAGCAAGCAUGUCUCCUUCUCGUGUGCACUGUUGUCAUCCCUCUUGCAGUGGCUAAGGUAAUUUUAAUUUGGGAACCUUUUGAUUUUAAGUUGGAUAUGUUAUGAACAAUGUUAAGGAGAUUUGUUGCCUUGUGGUGUCCAAACAUGAAUACC